This 221-nucleotide ribosomal RNA is filed under the name uncultured bacterium. Its description in RNAcentral is "partial 16S ribosomal RNA". It matches the Rfam family "Bacterial small subunit ribosomal RNA", at positions 524 to 744 of the family's 1533-position model. The record is from RNAcentral.
UACAGAGGGUGCAAACGUUGCUCGGAAUCAUUGGGCGUAAAGCGCACGUAGGCGGCCCAGCAAGUGGGGAGUGAAAGCCCUCGGCUUAACCGAGGAAGUGCUUUCCAAACUACUGGGCUUGAAUACUGGAGAGGGUCGCGGAAUUCCCGGUGUAGAGGUGAAAUUCGUAGAUAUUCGGAAGAACACCAGUGGCGAAGGCGGCUCACUGGCCCGUUACCGAC